CAGGCUUCUCCCCUCAAUCUCAGGACUAACCAUUUUAUUGUGAGCCUGAGAGGAAAGGGGAAUGCCUG
Molecule: microRNA precursor, 68 nt
Organism: Bison bison bison
Lineage: Eukaryota; Metazoa; Chordata; Mammalia; Artiodactyla; Bovidae
Source: Ensembl